Molecule: ribosomal RNA, 310 nt
Filed under: Escherichia coli
Lineage: Bacteria; Pseudomonadati; Pseudomonadota; Gammaproteobacteria; Enterobacterales; Enterobacteriaceae
Description: partial 23S ribosomal RNA
Rfam family: Bacterial large subunit ribosomal RNA
Source: RNAcentral
AGCGGCGGGCGAACGGGGAGAAGCCCAGAGCCUGAAUCAGGCUGUGUGUUCAUGGAGGCGUCGGGAAAGGCACGCGAUACAGGGUGACAGCACCGUCCACAAAAAUGCACAUACUGUGAGCCAGAAGGACAGGGCGGGACACGUUAUAUCCUGUCUGAAUAUUGGGGGACCACCAUCCAUGGCCAAAUACUCCUGACUUACCUACAGUGAACAAGUACCGUGCGGGCACGGCGAAAAGAAACCCGGCGAAGGGGGAGCAAAAGAACCUGGAACCGAGGACGCACAAACCGUACGAGCCGCGUUAUGUGGG